UCUAGAACUCAAGAUAUGAGCUGAAAACCGAACAGUGUUUGAGCUGCAGGACAGGUUCCGACUUCUCCGUUGUUGCUAAUAUUUGAACUUGAAAAUGGCAGAAUUGAGUUUUGGACCCUUCAUGAAAGUUUUAGGUCUAUGUCUUAUCUUUCCAUC
Molecule: non-coding RNA, 156 nt
Organism: Populus trichocarpa (black cottonwood)
Lineage: Eukaryota; Viridiplantae; Streptophyta; Magnoliopsida; Malpighiales; Salicaceae
Source: Rfam